GCACAGUAAACUAUGGAUGCUCGCGGUGCGGGGCUUGCCCCUACGCCGCCUAGCGAAAGCGUUAAGCAUCCCACCUGGGGAGUACGCCGGCAACGGUGAAACUCAAAGGAAUUGACGGGGGCCCGCACAAGCGGAGGAACAUGUGGUUUAAUUCGAUGAUACGCGAGGAACCUUACCCGGGCUUGAAAGAUGGUCGGCGGCGUCCAGAGACGGGCGCUUCCUUCGGGCGGCCAUCUAGGUGCUGCAUGGUUGUCGUCAGCUCGUGCCGUGAGGUGUCGGCUUAAGUGCCAUAACGAGCGCAACCCUUAUCGUUGGUUACCAUCGGGCAAUGCCGGGGACUCCAGCGACACUGCCAUCGCAAGAUGUGAGGAAGGCGGGGAUGACGUCAAAUCAGCACGGCCCUUACGUCCGGGGCUACACACGUGUUACAAUGGGGGGCACAGAAAGCUGGAUGGCGGCGACGUCGUCCGAAUCCUCAAAUCCCCUCCAGUUCGGACUGGAGUCUGCAACCCGACUCCACGAAGCUGGAUUCGCUAGUAAUCGCGCAUCAGCCAUGGCGCGGUGAAUACGUUCCCGGGCCUUGUACACACCGCCCGUCAAGCCAUGAAAGUCGGGGGCGCCUGAAGUCCGUAGCCGCAAGGCGCGGCCUAGGGCGAUACCGGUGAUUGGGGCU
This 673-nucleotide ribosomal RNA is filed under the name uncultured equine intestinal eubacterium sp. DL02. Its description in RNAcentral is "bacterial SSU rRNA". It matches the Rfam family "Bacterial small subunit ribosomal RNA", at positions 797 to 1482 of the family's 1533-position model. The record is from RNAcentral.